GUCAGUGUGGUCUAGUGGUUUGAAUGUUGGACUAUGACUCCAGAUACCUGGGUUUGAUUUCCUGCUCAGCCA
Molecule: non-coding RNA, 72 nt
Organism: Phrynosoma platyrhinos (Desert horned lizard)
Lineage: Eukaryota; Metazoa; Chordata; Lepidosauria; Squamata; Phrynosomatidae
Source: the annotation of a GenBank genome assembly